This 383-nucleotide ribosomal RNA is filed under the name uncultured eukaryote. RNAcentral's name for it is "partial 18S ribosomal RNA". It matches the Rfam family "Eukaryotic small subunit ribosomal RNA", at positions 592 to 976 of the family's 1831-position model. The record is from RNAcentral.
CAAUAGCGUAUAUUAAAGUUGUUGCAGUUAAAAAGCUCGUAGUUGGAUUUCUGGUAGGAGCGACCGUGCCGAACUUGAUUGUUCGAGUAUUGUGUUGUCUUCAGCCAUCCUCGUGGAGAACUUUUCUAACAUUAACUUGUUGGGAUUGGGACCCGCGUCGUUUACUGUGAAAAGAUUAGAGUGUUUAAAGCAGGCAUUAGCUUGAAUACAUUAGCAUGGAAUAAUAAGAUAGGACUUUGGUACUAUUUUGUUGGUUUGCAUACCAAAUUAAUGAUCAACAGGAACAGUUUGAGGAUAUUCGUAUGAACAUGUCAGAGGUGAAAUUCUUGGAUUUUGAUCAGACGAACUACUGCGAAAGCAUUUAUCAAGGAUGUUUUCAUUAA